AUAUUAUACAAUUACUGUCUUUUGAUGAGGUAAAUGUGUAGUUUUAUUGACUUUUGAAAAACUGAUAUUCACUGAGGCCAAUGGUCGAAGUGAAUAUCAGUUUUUCAAAAGUCAAUUAAACCACAUAUUUACCGAAACAAAAGACAGUAAUGGUUUUAUUCCAUAUUCAGAGAGAAAUGUAUGUAAUGGCAAUCAUUAACCAAAACCAAUUGUACAUCAAUCGUUUUUUUACCAAAAUAGUGCAGGUAAAAGCACGAGACGUUAUGCGCGGUGAAUAUCCUUUUUCCGCAGGUGAAUAUGCUUAUUUAUUCAAAAUCCCAUUCAUAUAGAAAAACCUACUAAAGUUUUAUCAAUAUGGAAUAUUAUUACAUUGGUUGCAAUGAAUUACAUUGAUUUCCCAGUUAGAUAAAAACCGAUAAUUUCACAUGUGAAAUAAACGUGGUUAUUUCACUCUCUGACGUCAUACAACAAUAGGCGUUGUCAAGACGUCGAUAACGUCGGAUCAAAACAAAUUGUCAAUGCGUAGGGAAAAGAUAUAGUUCCUUACAUUUUCUACAUUGAUUUCAUAAAAAAAAGCCAUUUGCCAAUGUAAUAAAAAGAAUAACUAAUCGCCGUAUUUGAAUAUAAAAAAUAAGACAACGUGUGACCGAACG
RNAcentral lists this long non-coding RNA (653 nucleotides) under Mytilus galloprovincialis (Mediterranean mussel). Lineage: Eukaryota; Metazoa; Mollusca; Bivalvia; Mytilida; Mytilidae. The record is from RNAcentral.